GCGGGUGUAGCUCAGUUGGUAGAGCGCAACCUUGCCAAGGUUGAAGUCGUGGGUUCGAGUCCCAUCACCCGCUCCA
Molecule: transfer RNA, 76 nt
Filed under: Aquisalimonas lutea
Lineage: Bacteria; Pseudomonadati; Pseudomonadota; Gammaproteobacteria; Chromatiales; Ectothiorhodospiraceae
Also listed under: 2 other names
Description: tRNA-Gly
Rfam family: tRNA
About the family: Transfer RNA (tRNA) molecules are approximately 80 nucleotides in length. Their secondary structure includes four short double-helical elements and three loops (D, anti-codon, and T loops). Further hydrogen bonds mediate the characteristic L-shaped molecular structure. tRNAs have two regions of fundamental functional importance: the anti-codon, which is responsible for specific mRNA codon recognition, and the 3' end, to which the tRNAs corresponding amino acid is attached (by aminoacyl-tRNA synthetases). tRNAs cope with the degeneracy of the genetic code in two manners: having more than one tRNA (with a specific anti-codon) for a particular amino acid; and 'wobble' base-pairing, i.e. permitting non-standard base-pairing at the 3rd anti-codon position.
Source: RNAcentral